Pelobates cultripes (western spadefoot toad) is the source of this 585-nucleotide non-coding RNA. The record is from the annotation of a GenBank genome assembly. NCBI's taxonomy places the organism in Eukaryota, Metazoa, Chordata, Amphibia, Anura, Pelobatidae.
AAAACAAAGAAUAAGUGCACUUGAGUAUAACAAUGGCUGGGUGAGGCCGGUAUAAAUGUCUAUUCUGCACAAGGUACAGACAAGUCUGGUGAGAUCCAUGCCUGGUUAAUUUUAACCCCUUAAGGACACAUGAUGGAAAUAUUCAGUCAUGAUUCCCUUUUAUUCCAGAAGUUGUGUCCUUAAGAGGUUAGUAAACGUUGGCCGUGGACAGGCAGCUGUGCUUGUCUGUGAUAACCACGUGCCGAUCGCACGUCCCCGUGACGGCGACAUCGCAUUCGGAUGUCUACCCUAUCAACUUUCAAUGCUAUUUUCCAAACCUACCAUGGUGACAACGGGUAAUGGGGAAUCAGGAUUCGAUUCCAGAGAGGAAGUCUGAGAAAUGGCUACAACAUGCAAGGAAGGAAGCAGGCGCGCAAAUUACCCACUCCCGAUGCGGGGAGGUAGUGACGACAAAUAACAAUACACUACUCAUUCGAGGCCCUGUAAUUGUAAUGAGUCCACUUUAAAUCCUUUAACUUGGAUUAAUUGGAGGGCAAGUCUGGUGCAGAGCGACUGACCCGUGCGUGCUAUAGCUGAAACUCCACU